RNAcentral lists this transfer RNA (76 nucleotides) under Sphingobium sp. PAMC28499. RNAcentral's name for it is "tRNA-Lys". It matches the Rfam family "tRNA". Rfam says of the family: Transfer RNA (tRNA) molecules are approximately 80 nucleotides in length. Their secondary structure includes four short double-helical elements and three loops (D, anti-codon, and T loops). Lineage: Bacteria; Pseudomonadati; Pseudomonadota; Alphaproteobacteria; Sphingomonadales; Sphingobiaceae. The record is from RNAcentral.
GGGUCCAUAGCUCAGUCGGUAGAGCAACUGACUUUUAAUCAGUAGGCCGCUGGUUCGAACCCAGCUGGACUCACCA